RNAcentral lists this ribosomal RNA (497 nucleotides) under uncultured bacterium. RNAcentral describes it as "partial 16S ribosomal RNA". It matches the Rfam family "Bacterial small subunit ribosomal RNA", at positions 28 to 507 of the family's 1533-position model. The record is from RNAcentral.
GAUGAACGCUGGCGGCGUGCCUAAUACAUGCCAGUCGAGCGAACGGACGAGAAGCUUGCCUCUCUGAUGUUAGCGGCGGACGGGUGAGUAACACGCGGAUAACCUACCUAUAAGACUGGGAUAACUUCGGGAAACCGGAGCUAAUACCGGAUAAUAUUUUGAACCGCAUGGUUCAAAAGUGAAAGACGGUCUUGCUGUCACUUAUAGAUGGAUCCGCGCUGCAUUAGCUAGUUGGUAAGGUAACGGCUUACCAAGGCAACGAUGCAUAGCCGACCUGAGAGGGUGAUCGGCCACACUGGAACUGAGACACGGUCCAGACUCCUACGGGAGGCAGCAGUAGGGAAUCUUCCGCAAUGGGCGAAAGCCUGACGGAGCAACGCCGCGUGAGUGAUGAAGGUCUUCGGAUCGUAAAACUCUGUUAUUAGGGAAGAACAUAUGUGUAAGUAACUGUGCACAUCUUGACGGUACCUAAUCAGAAAGCCACGGCUAACUACGUG